GUGCAGCAGCCGCGGUAAUACCGGCAGCCCGAGUGAUGGCCGAUCUUAUUGGGCCUAAAGCGUCCGUAGCUGGCCGCGCAAGUCCAUCGGAAAAUCCACCCGCCCAACGGGUGGGCGUCCGGUGGAAACUGUGCGGCUUGGGACCGGAAGGCGCGACGGGUACGUCCGGGGUAGGAGUGAAAUCCUGUAAUCCUGGACGGACCGCCGGUGGCGAAAGCGCCUCGGGAAGACGGACCCGACAGUGAGGGACGAAAGCCAGGGUCUCGAACCGGAUUAGAAACCCGAGUAGUCC
This 292-nucleotide ribosomal RNA is filed under the name uncultured bacterium. Its description in RNAcentral is "partial 16S ribosomal RNA". It matches the Rfam family "Archaeal small subunit ribosomal RNA", at positions 455 to 747 of the family's 1478-position model. The record is from RNAcentral.